GCCCGGGUGGUGGAAUGUAGACACGGUGAGCUUAAACCUCACUGACCUACGGGUCGUGCCGGUUCGAGUCCGGCUCCGGGCA
RNAcentral lists this transfer RNA (82 nucleotides) under Streptantibioticus ferralitis. RNAcentral's name for it is "tRNA-Leu". It matches the Rfam family "tRNA". From Rfam's summary of the family: Transfer RNA (tRNA) molecules are approximately 80 nucleotides in length. Their secondary structure includes four short double-helical elements and three loops (D, anti-codon, and T loops). Lineage: Bacteria; Bacillati; Actinomycetota; Actinomycetes; Kitasatosporales; Streptomycetaceae. The record is from RNAcentral. RNAcentral also lists the same sequence under 3 other names.